Molecule: non-coding RNA, 89 nt
Organism: Paramuricea clavata
Lineage: Eukaryota; Metazoa; Cnidaria; Anthozoa; Malacalcyonacea; Plexauridae
Source: the annotation of a GenBank genome assembly
UUGAAGGAUUUGUAAGAAAUGUUUGAGGGAAAUGAGUCAUUGUUAAGCACUAACUCAUUUCCCUCAAACAUUUCUUACAAAUCCUUCAA